UGGGGAAUUUUGGACAAUGGGGGCAAGCCUGAUGACGCAACGCCGCGUGGGGGAUGAAGGUCUUCGGAUCGUAAACCCCUGUCGAAUGGGACGAAAGACUCGCGAGUGAGUACUUCGCAAGAGUGACGGUACCGUUAAAGGAAGCCACGGCUAACUCUGUGCCAGCAGCCGCGGUAAUACAGAGGUGGCAAGCGUUGUUCGGAAUUACUGGGCGUAAAGGGCGCGUAGGCGGCCCUCUAAGUCAGACGUGAAAUCCCCCGGCUUAACCUGGGAACUGCGUCUGAUACUGGAGGGCUUGAGUAUGGGAGAGGGAUGUAGAAUUCCAGGUGUAGCAGUGAAAUGCGUAGAUAUGUGGAGGAAUACCGAUGGCGAAGGCAGCCCCCUGGGAUAACACUGACGCUCAUGCACGAAAGCGUGGGGAGCAAACAGGAUUAGAUACCCAUGUAGUCCCUGAGCGGGCUGGCAAGGCGCAU
RNAcentral lists this ribosomal RNA (473 nucleotides) under uncultured bacterium. Its description in RNAcentral is "bacterial SSU rRNA". It matches the Rfam family "Bacterial small subunit ribosomal RNA", at positions 355 to 825 of the family's 1533-position model. The record is from RNAcentral.